GGAUUUGGCAUGNGUGCGAGCCUGNUCCAGCCAUGCCGCGUGCAGGAAGACGGCCUUCUGGGUUGUAAACUGCUUUUGCCAGGGGAUAAAACGUUCCUGCGGGGAUAAUUGAAGGUACCUGGUGAAUAAGCCACGGCUAACUACGUGCCAGCAGCCGCGGUAAUACGUAGGUGGCAAGCGUUGUCCGGAUUUAUUGGGUUUAAAGGGUGCGUAGGUGGUUCCAUAAGUCAGUGGUGAAAUACGGCAGCUUAACUGUCGAGGUGCCAUUGAUACUGCGGAACUUGAGUACAGACGAGGUAGGCNGGAAUUGACGGUGUAGCNGGUGAAAUGCUUAGAUAUCGUCAAGAACACCGAUAGCGAAGGCAGCUUACUAGACUGUAACUGACACUGAGGCACGAAAGUGUGGGGAUCAAACAGGAUUAGAUACCCUGGUAGUCCACACUGUAAACGAUGAUUACUCGAUGUUGGCGAUACACAGCCAGCGUCUUAGCGAAAGCGAUAAGUAAUCCACCUGGGGAGUACGCCCGCAAGGGUGAAACUCAAAAAAAUUGACGGAA
This 557-nucleotide ribosomal RNA is filed under the name uncultured bacterium. Its description in RNAcentral is "bacterial SSU rRNA". It matches the Rfam family "Bacterial small subunit ribosomal RNA", at positions 359 to 918 of the family's 1533-position model. The record is from RNAcentral.